GGGUUGUGAGGUUAAGCGACUAAGCGUACACGGUGGAUGCCCUGGCAGUCAGAGGCGAUGAAGGACGUGCUAAUCUGCGAUAAGCGUCGGUAAGGUGAUAUGAACCGUUAUAACCGGCGAUUUCCGAAUGGGGAAACCCAGUGUGAUUCGUCACACUAUCAUUAACUGAAUCCAUAGGUUAAUGAGGCGAACCGGGGGAACUGAAACAUCUAAGUACCCCGAGGAAAAGAAAUCAACCGAGAUUCCCCCAGUAGCGGCGAGCGAACGGGGAGGAGCCCAGAGCCUGAAUCAGUGUGUGUGUUAGUGGAAGCGUUUGGAAAGGCGCGCGAUACAGGGUGACAGCCCCGUACACAAAAAUGCACAUGCUGUGAGCUCGAUGAG
This 381-nucleotide ribosomal RNA is filed under the name Escherichia coli. RNAcentral's name for it is "partial 23S ribosomal RNA". It matches the Rfam family "Bacterial large subunit ribosomal RNA", at positions 1 to 412 of the family's 2925-position model. Lineage: Bacteria; Pseudomonadati; Pseudomonadota; Gammaproteobacteria; Enterobacterales; Enterobacteriaceae. The record is from RNAcentral.